GAGUAAUGUCUGGGAAACUGCCUGAUGGAGGGGGAUAACUACUGGAAACGGUAGCUAAUACCGCAUAACGUCGCAAGACCAAAGAGGGGGACCUUCGGGCCUCUUGCCAUCAGAUGUGCCCAGAUGGGAUUAGCUAGUAGGUGGGGUAACGGCUCACCUAGGCGACGAUCCCUAGCUGGUCUGAGAGGAUGACCAGCCACACUGGAACUGAGACACGGUCCAGACUCCUACGGGAGGCAGCAGUGGGGAAUAUUGCACAAUGGGCGCAAGCCUGAUGCAGCCAUGCCGCGUGUAUGAAGAAGGCCUUCGGGUUGUAAAGUACUUUCAGCGAGGAGGAAGGUGUUGAGGUUAAUAACCGCAGCAAUUGACGUUACCCGCAGAAGAAGCACCGGCUAACUCCGUGCCAGCAGCCGCGGUAAUACGGAGGGUGCAAGCGUUAAUCGGAAUUACUGGGCGUAAAGCGCACGCAGGCGGUCUGUCAAGUCGGAUGUGAAAUCCCCGGGCUCAACCUGGGAACUGCAUUCGAAACUGGCAGGCUAGAGUCUUGUAGAGGGGGGUAGAAUUCCAGGUGUAGCGGUGAAAUGCGUAGAGAUCUGGAGGAAUACCGGU
This 609-nucleotide ribosomal RNA is filed under the name uncultured bacterium. Its description in RNAcentral is "bacterial SSU rRNA". It matches the Rfam family "Bacterial small subunit ribosomal RNA", at positions 108 to 713 of the family's 1533-position model. The record is from RNAcentral.